UCGAGCGGAAGAUGGGAGCUUGCUCCCUGAUGUUAGCGGCGGACGGGUGAGUAACACGUGGGUAACCUGCCUGUAAGACUGGGAUAACUCCGGGAAACCGGGGCUAAUACCGGAUGCUUGUUUGAACCGCAUGGUUCAAACAUAAAAGGUGGCUUCGGCUACCACUUACAGAUGGACCCGCGGCGCAUUAGCUAGUUGGUGAGGUAAUGGCUCACCAAGGCAACGAUGCGUAGCCGACCUGAGAGGGUGAUCGGCCACACUGGGACUGAGACACGGCCCAGACUCCUACGGGAGGCAGCAGUAGGGAAUCUUCCGCAAUGGACGAAAGUCUGACGGAGCAACGCCGCGUGAGUGAUGAAGGUUUUCGGAUCGUAAAGCUCUGUUGUUAGGGAAGAACAAGUGCCGUUCAAAUAGGGCGGCACCUUGACGGUACCUAACCAGAAAGCCACGGCUAACUACGUGCCAGCAGCCGCGGUAAUACGUAGGUGGCAAGCGUUGUCCGGAAUUAUUGGGCGUAAAGGGCUCGCAGGCGGUUUCUUAAGUCUGAUGUGAAAGCCCCCGGCUCAACCGGGGAGGGUCAUUGGAAACUGGGGAACUUG
Molecule: ribosomal RNA, 599 nt
Filed under: Bacillus sp. 13546
Lineage: Bacteria; Bacillati; Bacillota; Bacilli; Caryophanales; Bacillaceae
Description: bacterial SSU rRNA
Rfam family: Bacterial small subunit ribosomal RNA
Source: RNAcentral